CCUUGCCUCUGGCUGCGGACCUUUAGCAAUACAGGCAAGGACGGGGGAACCAAAACCGGCUGUCCAUCUGGACAGUCUUGGGGUGAAGUUCUUGGUCAAGAUGGCUCUGCCAUCGCGCCCAGGGACCGGAUUGCUCUCUAAUCCGAAUCCGACAGCUAACCUCGCAAGUGUUGAGAGAGGAAGA
Molecule: small RNA, 184 nt
Filed under: Arthrobacter sp.
Lineage: Bacteria; Bacillati; Actinomycetota; Actinomycetes; Micrococcales; Micrococcaceae
Also listed under: 1 other name
Description: c-di-AMP sequence
Rfam family: c-di-AMP riboswitch aptamer (ydaO/yuaA leader)
About the family: This family represents a conserved RNA structure found upstream of the ydaO and yuaA genes in Bacillus subtilis and related genes in other bacteria.
Source: RNAcentral